Non-coding RNA from Misgurnus anguillicaudatus (oriental weatherfish), 543 nucleotides. NCBI's taxonomy places the organism in Eukaryota, Metazoa, Chordata, Actinopteri, Cypriniformes, Cobitidae. The record is from RefSeq and is a predicted model, not a curated record.
GGGCUGUGCUCAGGACUCUUCUACUAUAAACUCAUGCUGUUGUAAUAGAUGCAGUAUGAAGUUUAUUAAUGUCUUACUGAAAUAGACAAAGACAGAUGAAAGCAGAUGUUGCUCUUUCAGUAUUGAUGAGAUGUGAAAGCUGCUCAUUUAGACGCUAAUCCUCCUCCAUACCAACAGAGAUGAAGGCUUUUGAUGUGAGCACUGAUAACAAAGACCUACUACAAAUAAAACAAACAUAAAACUAUGCUAACUAUAGUUAAGUCAUGCUUGAUUUUCUUAAGGACAAUUCAUCUCAUGUGCAUUACAUCUCAUGGUGCUUUCAUUCUUCACUCAUUCAUGUCAGUACAGUCUGCACACGAGCGACAUCUCGUGGACUUUGAUUGUAUUGCAUCAAAUGAGUCAUUCUGGACCAAACCCGAACUCAAAAGUAAUAUUUAAUACAUUUAUAAACUGAUGAUUUUACCCCUGCUGAUGUAAAACAUUUCUGUUAGUGUUGAUGUAAAACUAAGAGUAAACACAAGGUGUCAGAAUUUAUGUGUGAAA